This 400-nucleotide ribosomal RNA is filed under the name uncultured bacterium. RNAcentral describes it as "bacterial SSU rRNA". It matches the Rfam family "Bacterial small subunit ribosomal RNA", at positions 356 to 773 of the family's 1533-position model. The record is from RNAcentral.
GGGGAAUAUUGCACAAUGGGGGAAACCCUGAUGCAGCGACGCCGCGUGAGCGAUGAAGUAUUUCGGUAUGUAAAGCUCUAUCAGCAGGGAAGAAAAUGACGGUACCUGACUAAGAAGCACCGGCUAAAUACGUGCCAGCAGCCGCGGUAAUACGUAUGGUGCAAGCGUUAUCCGGAUUUACUGGGUGUAAAGGGAGCGUAGACGGAGUGGCAAGUCUGAUGUGAAAACCCGGGGCUCAACCCCGGGACUGCAUUGGAAACUGUCAAUCUAGAGUACCGGAGAGGUAAGCGGAAUUCCUAGCGUAGCGGUGAAAUGCGUAGAUAUUAGGAGGAACACCAGUGGCGAAGGCGGCUUACUGGACGGUAACUGACGUUGAGGCUCGAAAGCGUGGGGAGCAAAC